Molecule: transfer RNA, 71 nt
Filed under: Marmota monax (woodchuck)
Lineage: Eukaryota; Metazoa; Chordata; Mammalia; Rodentia; Sciuridae
Description: tRNA.Ala
Source: RNAcentral
GGAGUUGUGGCUCAGUGACAGAGUGCUUGCUUAGCAUGUAUGAGGCACUGGGUUUGAGUCUCAGCACUGCA